GACGACGCUGGCGGCGUGCUUAACACAUGCAAGUCGAACGGAGUUACGUAUGAAGUAUUUCGGUACGGACUAUGUAACUUAGUGGCGAACGGGUGAGUAACACGUGGGCAACCUGCCCUUAACCGGGGGAUAACAUUGUGAAAACAGUGCUAAUACCGCAUAACAGAGUAUCGGGCAUCCGAUAUUUUUAAAAGGAGCAAUCCGGUUUAGGAUGGGCCCGCGUCCAAUUAGCUAGUUGGUGAGGUAACGGCUCACCAAGGCUACGAUUGGUAGCCGAACUGAGAGGUUGAUCGGCCACAUUGGGACUGAGACACGGCCCAGACUCCUACGGGAGGCAGCAGUGGGGAAUAUUGGGCAAUGGGCGAAAGCCUGACCCAGCGACGCCGCGUGAAGGAUGAAGGUCUUCGGAUUGUAAACUUCUUUGAUCAGGGAAGAAAGAAAUGACGGUACCUGAAGAACAAGCCACGGCUAACUACGUG
This 479-nucleotide ribosomal RNA is filed under the name uncultured bacterium. Its description in RNAcentral is "bacterial SSU rRNA". It matches the Rfam family "Bacterial small subunit ribosomal RNA", at positions 33 to 507 of the family's 1533-position model. The record is from RNAcentral.